AGAACGAACGCUGGCGGCAGGCUUAACACAUGCAAGUCGAACGCUCGUAGCAAUACGGGAGUGGCAGACGGGUGAGUAACGCGUGGGAACAUACCCUCCGGUUCGGAAUAGCUCAGGGAAACUUGGAUUAAUACCGGAUACGGCUGAGAGGCGAAAGAUUUAUCGCCGGAGGAUUGGCCCGCGUUCGAUUAGCUUGUUGGUGAGGUAACGGCUCACCAAGGCGAUGAUCGAUAGCUGGUCUGAGAGGAUGAUCAGCCACAUUGGGACUGAGACACGGCCCAAACUCCUACGGGAGGCAGCAGUGGGAAUAUUGGACAAUGGGCGCAAGCCUGAUCCAGCCAUGCCGCGUGAGUGAUGACGGCCUUAGGGUUGUAAAGCUCUUUCGCUCAGGACGAUAAUGACGGUACCGAGAUAAGAAGCCCCGGCUAACUUCGUGCCAGCCAGCCGC
Molecule: ribosomal RNA, 448 nt
Filed under: uncultured bacterium
Lineage: Bacteria
Description: SSU rRNA
Rfam family: Bacterial small subunit ribosomal RNA
Source: RNAcentral